This 245-nucleotide long non-coding RNA is filed under the name Lathyrus oleraceus (garden pea). RNAcentral's name for it is "Pisum sativum (pea) long non-coding RNA (PSAT_LNC017426)". The record is from RNAcentral. Lineage: Eukaryota; Viridiplantae; Streptophyta; Magnoliopsida; Fabales; Fabaceae.
UUUGAGAACCAAUGAGGUUUUUUGAAGUGGCAGUCACAAACUUUUGAUUAGUCAUAAAAUUUUGUUUUUGUCAAGAAUUUUAGUGACCCUUUGAUUCUCUAUAUGGUGGUCACCUAAUCUUGUCUUUUGAUGAGGAUUUCAGUGACCUCUUUUGACUUUUUUCUUUGUUUUUUUCAUCUCUAAUUUUUGCCUAAGUCAUUUUUUCAGGUUUUGACUUAGCGGGCUUUGUUUUUUUUUGCUGAAAG